GGUGGUACAGCUUAGUGGAAGAGCGUAUGAUUAGCAAGCAAAAGGUCCUAGGUUCAAUCCCAAGUACCUCCA
This 72-nucleotide transfer RNA is filed under the name Camelus dromedarius (Arabian camel). It matches the Rfam family "tRNA". Rfam says of the family: Transfer RNA (tRNA) molecules are approximately 80 nucleotides in length. Their secondary structure includes four short double-helical elements and three loops (D, anti-codon, and T loops). RNAcentral also lists the same sequence under 1 other name. Lineage: Eukaryota; Metazoa; Chordata; Mammalia; Artiodactyla; Camelidae. The record is from Rfam by way of RNAcentral.